AUCACCUCCUCUGUUUGACACUCCCUGUGUCCCUGGCUUCUGGGACUUGGCACCUGAAGGUGUGCCUCCUGCCUCAGAGAUAGCUUCUUCAUUCCCUUUGCCUACAGCAUCAGCUCCUGCCCAGGCUCACCCCUGCCUGUAUCACCUCAUAUCUACCGAUUUCCAAAACAUCCUCUCUGCUUCAGACCAGUCCUUUCAUGGUCCCAGGCCACACCUGUGAGAAGCAGUAGAGCCCGCUGGUUCUCCUGACCAACCAGCACAAUCUGUUUGAAGCUCAUGGAGUGGUGGAAGGUCAUCUUGAAGACCCGCUGCCC
Long non-coding RNA from Herpailurus yagouaroundi (jaguarundi), 314 nucleotides. RefSeq lists it as uncharacterized. The record is from RefSeq and is a predicted model, not a curated record. The transcript has 3 exons. NCBI's taxonomy places the organism in Eukaryota, Metazoa, Chordata, Mammalia, Carnivora, Felidae.